CGUGCUUAACACAUGCAAGUCGAACGAGAACGGAUUAUAGCUUGCUAUAAUUGUCAGCUAAGUGGCGCACGGGUGAGUAAUGUAUAGAUAACCUGCCCUCUAAGAAAGGAAUAACAGUUGGAAACGACCGCUAAUGCCCUAUAUGCCUUUAAUACAUAAGUAUGCAAGGGAAACGCUUUAGUGCUAGAGGAUGGGUCUGUAUGGUAUCAGCUUGUUGGUGAGGUAAUGGCUCACCAAGGCUAUGACGCCUAACUGGUUUGAGAGGAUGAUCAGUCACACUGGAACUGAGACACGGACCAGACUCCUACGGGAGGCAGCAGUGAGGAAUAUUGGUCAAUGGGCGCAAGCCUGAACCAGCCAUGCCGCGUGCAGGAUGACGGUCCUAUGGACUGUAAACUGCUUUUGUACAGGAAGAAACACUCCCUCGUGAGGGAGCUUGACGGUACUGUAAGAAUAAGGAUCGGCUAACUCCGUG
This 475-nucleotide ribosomal RNA is filed under the name uncultured bacterium. Its description in RNAcentral is "bacterial SSU rRNA". It matches the Rfam family "Bacterial small subunit ribosomal RNA", at positions 43 to 507 of the family's 1533-position model. The record is from RNAcentral.